RNAcentral lists this long non-coding RNA (1550 nucleotides) under Cervus hanglu yarkandensis (Yarkand deer). RNAcentral's name for it is "lncRNA (ENSCHYG00000022234.1)". The record is from RNAcentral. Lineage: Eukaryota; Metazoa; Chordata; Mammalia; Artiodactyla; Cervidae.
UGCGGGAACUUGCAGACGGCGCAGGUGCAGAGGCCAGGCGCCGCCGCGCCGGGGCCCGUGCUGCUGGCGCCCGGCGCCGUGGGGCCGCCCGACGCGCUGCGCCCGGCCAAGUACCUGUCUCUGGCGCUCGAGGAGCCGCCGUGCGGCCAGUUCGCGCUCCCCGGCGGCGGUCCGGGCGGCGGCGCGGGCGGCCCUGGCCUCUGCACCUGCGCCGUCUGCAAGUUCCCGCACCUGGUCCCGGCCGGCCUGGGCCUGGCCGCUGUGCCGGCGCAGUUCUCCAAGUGAGGGCCGGCUCGGGCGCCACCUCGGCCCGGCCUCCCGCCGCCCAAGCCGGGCAGAGCCAGGAGGGCACUGCGGACCUCCUCGCCCAGAGACAGGGACUGCUGGGCGUCCCCUUUCGCGCCCCCAUUCCGGGGAAAUUAAAGUGACCCGAGCGGAUGUUCGACAGAACGUCGGGGCACUUUGGGGUCUUGGGUGGCUUCCAGCUGCUUUGCGCUCACGUGCGCGCUCUCACCGUCUUCCCGCGCCCGUGUCUCCCGGUUCCUGGAGUCGUGCGUUUCUCAAGGGCGAUGCGGACUUUACGGCGCCGGGCUAGCCCGGGUGCGGCGGUGGGCCGACACCUGCAGAGCCAGGGAACCAAGGGGCUAUUCUCGGAGGGCGGGGGGCUGCAGGUAGACUUGGAGGUGUUUCCUUCUUCUCGGCCAGAGGUCACAGGCGCCCUUGUUCACCAGCAGCCAGUCCCGGUUAGAGGAGGCUGGCCGACCCCCAGGAAGCCGAGAAAGACCACGCCGUCAGUGCAGACGGCUUCGCGCAUAGCAGACGGACAGACAGACCCUCGGCGGCCAGACGGGGCAGCGUAGGCAACUUUUGAGCUUGCUUGAAAACAACCACCUUUCCUCCGCAGACCGGCUUCCGGGCGUACUAAAAGAAAAUAGGUAACAAUGCGUUUCGCGGUUGCCGGCUUGGCAGAAGGCACGAUCUCUAAUUAACGUUCUGCCUCGUUAAACACGGAGGGGGACCAGGGACCCUGCUGUGGUGGCCACGGCUGGGUGGCGUUUUCUGCGCGGUCCCUUCGCGUUCGGGGGGGUCUUGGACCAGCGCGUGGGCCAGGUCUUCUGGCCACUUCGGGAUGGAAAAACUACGUUGAUUUGUUACAGGCGUUAGCAAAUUUCUUCAUCCAACAUGACUUCAUGAUCUUUCAGCAGCUUGCUUUGGAUUUUAAGGUUUCGGGGUUGUUGAUAGUUGCCGAAUUUAACUGGCAUUUUAUUUUUUUCCCCCUCUAACUUUGUUUCCCUGCGCUGUGAAGAAUCAACAAAAUAAACAUGUAAGGGCCUUACAUUUUUUGUCUGAUUUGUUAAUAAAAAAGUCCCCGUGCCUGAUGGAUUGAGAACCUCAGAAUGAAGGGUAAUAAAUAAUUAAAUGCCUCCGGUCAAAAGGUUUAAACCUAACUUCCUGAUAUGUAAAAACUAAUCCGAUGAAGUCAACUCUAGGCCAAGUUGAGAGGCAUCUGAAGGGGCAGGCAGGUAAAUGGGUGGAUGAGAAGAGAGGGA